This is a non-coding RNA of Maylandia zebra (zebra mbuna), 254 nucleotides long. The record is from RefSeq and is a predicted model, not a curated record. NCBI's taxonomy places the organism in Eukaryota, Metazoa, Chordata, Actinopteri, Cichliformes, Cichlidae.
GCAAUAUAUGCAAAUGAUGAAUGCGUUAAACCUGACAACCCAACACCUUCAACAAAUUACACAGGUCAGAGGAGCUCUAGGAGAAGUUUCUAUUUGGGUGUUAUUUUCUCCCUGAGCCUGCUCACUGUUUUAUUGCUGGUUGGACUUAUCACACUUAGUUUCUUCUACCACAAUUCAGCUGAACAUGUGUCGGCACAGGCUGAGGAGCGAGACCUUCUGAAUAAAAACAUCUCUGUGGUCAGUAACCAACUUUC